Physcomitrium patens is the source of this 924-nucleotide non-coding RNA. NCBI's taxonomy places the organism in Eukaryota, Viridiplantae, Streptophyta, Bryopsida, Funariales, Funariaceae. The record is from RefSeq and is a predicted model, not a curated record.
GCACGCCGCAGGGGCGGGGAAAUUGGACUGGUUGGUGACUCUGCUCCGCCUACAUCAUUUUAUUAAUUUGAUGGGUUCGGGUCUGAGCAUCGUCAAUUGAUCUCUCGCACCUGGUUUCUGCGAGGCCUUGCCAGUCUGUGUGUGCAAUUGUUGGUGCCGGGAAGAAGGAGAUUUCGAGGAGGAGUGCACCAGGAUGUGUUACUCGGUGGAAUGCAGCCACUGCGGCAAGACGUCGUGGGCUGGGUGUGGGUUGCACGUGCGAGGAGUGUACAACACAAUUCCCGAUAAGGACAAGGAUUUGUGUCUGUGCAAGGGCUGGCCUGGAGUGGAGCUACCGCCACAUUUGGCCGCCAGGGUUCCUGAGAGUGCCACAGGAAGCGGUUGCCACAUUUUGUGACCUUUUGCAUUAGUGAAUGGAUCGUGGUGGUUGUGCGUGAUCCACAUCGAUCACGCAUUUGUUUCUCAAGCCAUUGGCAGAGCGGACUUCUGCAUGGAAUUGGUCGUAUGGACAUCGCUGUGAAGGAAUGUCAAGGAACUGGACAUUCUCAUUCUGUAGGAGAGAGCAAGAUUGUUGCAAGUAUGUAGAUGACUUGAAGUAUUCAAACCAGUGGAACUUUGUGGAAACGCUCAUGUUGGACGUUCAUUCCUUUUGUUUGCUUAACUUCCAACAUGAACAUCCCUGUUCACAUUAUCUAGGAAGAGCACCGCAGAUACUAGUCUCCUAUUUUUGAGAGAGGCGAGGGAUAAAUUAAAAAAGAAAAAUAAUCCGAUUCCUCAAUGAGGAUCGAGACCAAGAUCCCUCCAUGCCCCAUUAUGAAGAGAUUGAUGAGUCCUUUUAAAUUAUGCAGAGAAAUUCCUCCUUUCUCCAAAACGAAUCGCCAUCUUACUUUCGUAAGGUACCUCCGGUAACAGAAAUUGCUUUCA